This 484-nucleotide ribosomal RNA is filed under the name uncultured bacterium. Its description in RNAcentral is "partial 16S ribosomal RNA". It matches the Rfam family "Bacterial small subunit ribosomal RNA", at positions 29 to 507 of the family's 1533-position model. The record is from RNAcentral.
AUUGAACGCUGGCGGCAUGCUUUACACAUGCAAGUCGAACGGCAGCGCGGGCUUCGGCCUGGCGGCGAGUGGCGAACGGGUGAGUAAUACAUCGGAACGUGCCCAGUAGUGGGGGAUAGCUCGGCGAAAGCCGGAUUAAUACCGCAUACGACCUGAGGGUGAAAGCGGGGGAUCUUCGGACCUCGCGCUAUUGGAGCGGCCGAUGGCCGAUUAGCUAGUUGGUGGGGUAAAGGCCUACCAAGGCGACGAUCUGUAGGUGGUCUGAGAGGACGACCAGCCACACUGGGACUGAGACACGGCCCAGACUCCUACGGGAGGCAGCAGUGGGGAAUUUUGGACAAUGGGCGAAAGCCUGAUCCAGCAAUGCCGCGUGUGUGAUGAAGGCCUUCGGGUUGUAAAGCACUUUUGGCGGGAACGAAAAGGACUGUGCCAAUACCACGGUUCGAUGACGGUACCCGCAGAAUAAGCACCGGCUAACUACGUG